GUACGAGCGCAACCCUUGUCCUUAGUUACCAGCACGUUAUGGUGGGCACUCUAAGGAGACUGCCGGUGACAAACCGAGGAAGGUGGGGAUGACGUCAAGUCAUCAUGGCCCUUACGGCCUGGGCUACACACGUGCUACAAUGGUCGGUACAAAGGGUUGCCAAGCCGCGAGGUGGAGCUAAUCCCAUAAAACCGAUCGUAGUCCGGAUCGCAGUCUGCAACUCGACUGCGUGAAGUCGGAAUCGCUAGUAAUCGUGAAUCAGAAUGUCACGGUGAAUACGUUCCCGGGCCUU
Molecule: ribosomal RNA, 292 nt
Filed under: uncultured Pseudomonas sp.
Lineage: Bacteria; Pseudomonadati; Pseudomonadota; Gammaproteobacteria; Pseudomonadales; Pseudomonadaceae
Description: partial 16S ribosomal RNA
Rfam family: Bacterial small subunit ribosomal RNA
Source: RNAcentral